This 254-nucleotide ribosomal RNA is filed under the name uncultured bacterium. RNAcentral's name for it is "partial 16S ribosomal RNA". It matches the Rfam family "Bacterial small subunit ribosomal RNA", at positions 524 to 776 of the family's 1533-position model. The record is from RNAcentral.
UACGGGGGGAGCAAGCGUUGUUCGGAUUUACUGGGCGUAAAGGGCGCGUAGGCGGUCAGCACAAGUCAGUUGUGAAAUCUCCGGGCUUAACUCGGAAAGGUCAACUGAUACUGUGCGACUAGAGUGCGGAAGGGGCAACUGGAAUUCUCGGUGUAGCGGUGAAAUGCGUAGAUAUCAAGAGGAACACCUGCGGCGAAGGCGGGUUGCUGGGCCGACACUGACGCUGAGGCGCGAAAGCGUGGGGAGCAAACAGG